RNAcentral lists this ribosomal RNA (461 nucleotides) under uncultured Methanolinea sp. Its description in RNAcentral is "bacterial SSU rRNA". It matches the Rfam family "Archaeal small subunit ribosomal RNA", at positions 878 to 1338 of the family's 1478-position model. The record is from RNAcentral. Lineage: Archaea; Methanobacteriati; Methanobacteriota; Methanomicrobia; Methanomicrobiales; Methanoregulaceae.
ACCACAACGGGUGGAGCCUGCGGUUAAUUGGAACUCAACGCCGGGCAGCUCACCGGAUAAGACAGCUGGAUGAUAGCCGGGCUGAAGACUCUGCUUGACUAGCUGAGAGGAGGUGCAUGGCCGUCGUCAGUCCGUACUGUGAAGCAUCCUGUUAAGUCAGGCAACGAGCGAGACCCACGCCAACAGUUGCCAGCAUGUCCUCCGGGAUGAUGGGGACACUGUUGGGACCGCCUCUGCUAAAGAGGAGGAAGGAAUGGGCAACGGUAGGUCAGCAUGCCCCGAAUUAUCCGGGCUACACGCGGGCUACAAUGGUCAGGACAAUGGGUAUCGACACCGAGAGGUGGAGGCAAUCUCCUAAACCUGUCCUUAGUUCGGAUUGUGGGCUGCAACUCGCCCACAUGAAGCUGGAAUCCGUAGUAAUCGCGUUUCAAAAUAGCGCGGUGAAUAUGUCCCUGCUCCUU